CUUCCUGCCGUACAACAGUCCCCAGGAGGAACCUGCACCGUUUGCUCCCCUCGUAACCCCGCUUCCCAGCAAGAGGCACACCUGUUAGGAAGGCAGCCACCACAGAUACACAGACACACACAAGGGCCCGGAUGCUCCCAGUCAGCACCUGGGGAUUGGCAAGAGCCUUCAUCUUCCGUGCCAUGGUUUCAUCCCUCUGAAGGCAAGUUUCCACCCUGGGUGUUGGCAGCACUUCUGAAGGGAAAGAGCUGUUGGAAUGGGUUUCUUGCUGUCUGGCUGUGCAUCCCUGGGCCUCCAAAAGCAGUGGGUUCCCUUGCCUGCCCACACAAUUAAAAUAAAUGCUAGGUCCCUCUGAGAUGGACACCUGCUUUCCUCUGAUCCACAGAAACCCACGUUUGGACCCAUUCGUCAAUCACCCAAAGCAAAGGGACCCGGGAAGCGAGGUGGUGUUUUGACUGCACCUCCCACCCCCCCUCGUGCUGCAUCCCCAGACAAGCUGACUCCAAGAGCUCAGACGGAGAAACACACAAUGCAGAGAGAAGCAGCUGCAGCCUCGUCCAAUUAUGGUGCUAAAUUACCAAGCCAAAGGCGCUCCGAGGAAGACAGAGACAGAGAGAGUGAGACACGCACACAGAGACCGAGAGAGAGAUGGGGAGAGAGAGACAGCGAGAGGGAGCAUGCAGGCAGUUCUGGUACAACGUGAAUCCAAACUCACCAUGGAUGAAUAGGUGUGGACUAACAUCUGGAAAAAAAAGCCUGGUUACUGCUCAAAAUCAAACAAUGAUUAAAAAAAAAUAAUCAAGGAGUCCAGCGAAGAAACGAGCUGGACACAGAAGCUGAGCUUGAAGUGUUUCCAGGGCAAGCCAUCCAAAAAAAAAAAAAAAAAUCACCCCCCCCACCCCCAAA
Molecule: long non-coding RNA, 906 nt
Organism: Pipistrellus kuhlii (Kuhl's pipistrelle)
Lineage: Eukaryota; Metazoa; Chordata; Mammalia; Chiroptera; Vespertilionidae
Exons: 2
Source: RefSeq, a predicted model, not a curated record